This 279-nucleotide ribosomal RNA is filed under the name uncultured bacterium. RNAcentral describes it as "partial 16S ribosomal RNA". It matches the Rfam family "Bacterial small subunit ribosomal RNA", at positions 506 to 784 of the family's 1533-position model. The record is from RNAcentral.
UGCCAGCAGCCGCGGUAAUACGUAGGUGGCAAGCGUUGUCCGGAUUUACUGGGCGUAAAGAGCGCGCAGGCGGUCGUUCAAGUCGCGUGUGAAAGCCCCCGGCUCAACUGGGGAGGGUCACGCGAUACUGAUCGACUCGAAGGCAGGAGAGGGUAGUGGAAUUCCCGGUGUAGUGGUGAAAUGCGUAGAUAUCGGGAGGAACACCAGUGGCGAAGGCGACUACCUGGCCUGUUCUUGACGCUGAGGCGCGAAAGCUAGGGGAGCAAACGGGAUUAGAUA